This 24-nucleotide non-coding RNA is filed under the name Cricetulus griseus (Chinese hamster). Lineage: Eukaryota; Metazoa; Chordata; Mammalia; Rodentia; Cricetidae. The record is from RNAcentral.
AUGGGAUAAAGGAAACAGAGGACA